Olea europaea var. sylvestris is the source of this 1416-nucleotide RNA transcript. It is a transcript of the gene named mitochondrial Rho GTPase 1-like, with no coding region annotated. The record is from RefSeq and is a predicted model, not a curated record. Lineage: Eukaryota; Viridiplantae; Streptophyta; Magnoliopsida; Lamiales; Oleaceae. The transcript has 3 exons.
AUCGAUAUAUAUUGACAUGCCUCCUUUCGUAAGAGCAGCAAAGAGGAUGGAAGAAAAUAUAUAUUUUUUCAUCCUUUAUGGUUUUGAUUACUCGUCUCCUAUCUUAUAAAUCAACUGGAGAGAAAGUGUGUUAUUAAGAUCAGAAAUUGGGGAUAGAAAUAAGAAAUUGAAAUGAGUUUUAAACUUCUAAAGGGACAGUUUCUUGGCUUUGAUGUUCUACUGAUCUGUCCUGAAUGAACACAUGGUUGCUGGAGAGGUGAUGUGUUGCCAGAGUGCGGGAAAUCCCGGGACCAUUGUUCUUGGUUAUGGCAUCAUUGCUGGUAACAGAGGCGGCAACAGGUGCAAUACAUUUAAGAGAUUUUGUUAACAGUGGACACUGCCAAAUAAAUCUUGCAUUUGUGAAAUCUGACUGUUAGGAUAACUCGUGGUCGGCAGGUUAUUAAAGCUGAGUACAGUUUCUCUGUUAUCUCCUUAAUGGGGGUGACUAGCAAGGACUUGGAACAUGUGAUACCUGUUUGAUUUGGUAGUCAGCCCCUUCCCAUUGUGCACAAAUCAGGAGUCUUCCGUGUCUAACCAGUGGCGCACUGUAUGUCUAUGCAGUCCUAGUAUGAUGGGCCAUGCACUUCCUUGAGCAGAGUUGAAUUUGCUGUUUUGCUAAAUUGUUUUGAUUUUAUUCCGUUGUGUUCUUUAAUAGGUAAGCCAGGAUAUGGGAAUUGAGACUCCUAUACCUGUCAGUGCAAAGCUAGGAGAUUUCAGUAAUUUAUUUAAAAGGAUAGUAAAUGCAGCUGAGCACCCCCAUUUGAGCAUUCCAGAAACUGCCGCUGGCAAAAGCCGUAAGCAGUAUCACAGGCUUGUUAAUCGUUCCCUCGUGUUUGUAUCAGUUGGGGCUGCUGUAGCCAUUGUUGGGCUGGCUGCUUAUCGUAUUUAUGCUGCAAGAAAGAAUUGUUCCAGUUAGACGGAAGAAGCGACAUUACCUUUGUACCGGGGAGGGGAUUGGAAUAAGUUCUAGUGCUCUGCUUGUCCUAGGGGUCUGCUUGUUGCAUUUUGUUGAACUGGCUGUUUGUAGAGAAGGGCUGUAGCUCAAUAUUAUUGAAUGCUAUUGAACCGCGUGGUGUUGAAGUUGGUUUUGUGGUCUUAUUGGAGGCUUCAACACGUUUAGUUGUGAUCGUAAUGGGGUUAUGUGGAACACUGGCUGAGGUGGCGGUGGAGAGUGGGGUGGUGAAUGGAAGAAGGCUGAGUGCUGUGGGGAUGUUCUAAAGAAUAAAAUCUGAGUAUUAAUAAUUUUGUUUUCAGAUUAAUUUCAGAAAUGGCCAUUGAACUUUGCACUCUGUCAUCUUAGCCAACAAAAUUUUAUUUGUAUUACGUUUAUCAUUGACUUUUGCAAAGUGUUUUAAGUUGACCUAUCGUUCAAUUCAU